UGUAGAGGGGGGUAGAAUUCCAGGUGUAGCGGUGAAAUGCGUAGAGAUCUGGAGGAAUACCGGUGGCGAAGGCGGCCCCCUGGACAAAGACUGACGCUCAGGUGCGAAAGCGUGGGGAGCAAACAGGAUUAGAUACCCUGGUAGUCCACGCCGUAAACGAUGUCUACUUGGAGGUUGUGCCCUUGAGGCGUGGCUUCCGGAGCUAACGCGUUAAGUAGACCGCCUGGGGAGUACGGCCGCAAGGUUAAAACUCAAAUGAAUUGACGGGGGCCCGCACAAGCGGUGGAGCAUGUGGUUUAAUUCGAUGCAACGCGAAGAACC
This 321-nucleotide ribosomal RNA is filed under the name Salmonella enterica. RNAcentral describes it as "bacterial SSU rRNA". It matches the Rfam family "Bacterial small subunit ribosomal RNA", at positions 650 to 970 of the family's 1533-position model. RNAcentral also lists the same sequence under 8 other names. Lineage: Bacteria; Pseudomonadati; Pseudomonadota; Gammaproteobacteria; Enterobacterales; Enterobacteriaceae. The record is from RNAcentral.